GCACGGAAGAAGAAUGAGAUGGAGCAAGAGCUUGGUCGCAAAGUUAGUAGGGGAGAAGUUUGGAUAGCAACACAUAAACAUGCUAAUGGGGAAUUUGUGAAUGAUGGAGCAAGAGAGAUUGGAGAAAAAAUUAAAGCAUAUGAGACAAAUACAUCUUCCCUU
Vigna unguiculata (cowpea) is the source of this 162-nucleotide long non-coding RNA. NCBI's taxonomy places the organism in Eukaryota, Viridiplantae, Streptophyta, Magnoliopsida, Fabales, Fabaceae. The record is from RefSeq and is a predicted model, not a curated record.